Molecule: long non-coding RNA, 1435 nt
Organism: Cydia fagiglandana
Lineage: Eukaryota; Metazoa; Arthropoda; Insecta; Lepidoptera; Tortricidae
Exons: 2
Source: RefSeq, a predicted model, not a curated record
AUAUUGGAAUCUUCAAUCAAUGACAGAUUAUAUCCCUUGGGAUUCAAAUAAUAGGUACCUACGUAGGUAUUAAUCCCUAUUUUUGUUUUCUAUUUUAAGUUAAUAUUUUAAUGAAAUAAAACAAUAGGACAAUACAUAAUCAUUACGUGAAAAAUAAUUGUCACAGACAUUUUUGUGUUAAAUUGAGUAUACAUUGUAUUUCGUUGUUUUAUACUGCCACGGAUUUAGAUUCUCAAUAUAAUAAAAUUGAAAUCUGUACUGAGGAAUUCAUUUAAAAAAUAAAUCUUGUAAUCGAGACUAAACUUCUACUAGUGCACAAGCUAUUACAUACCUUGUAUUACUAAUGAACUAAGUAAUGCUCUGGCUAAUGUCUGUAAGUAAAUUUAAACACACAAAACAUGAAUUUAUCACAUUCAUAGGUAAUAAUUUUGUCAACUUCAUAUGACUUCAGACUUACUGGAUACCUGUACUGUAGAUCGUUGGUUGGUUGAUGUUUUUAUUAUUAUCCUUUGUAGAUUUUUUUUCAAUGAGGUAUCUGGUUUUAUCUAGGAUCUCCUUUAUAAUUUGUUUACUAUCUGUACCUGUGAAUAUUUUACUGAAAGAGAUGCUCAUGCCUUUUAAGCUUACAAACUAUGCAAUGUUAUUUUGUAAUUCAAAUAAAAUAGACGAAUUAUUUAAAAUGGUUAGUCGAUGAAUGUAUGUGUAGGUACAUAUAUACCUAAUUAAAAAUAUACAAAGAAACUUUAUUUAAAUAGUUUAUAUAAAAUGAAAUAUGUAGAUUAACAAAUCAAGGAAAACAAAAGAAAUGACUUUCCUGAAGACUAGCCGUAGGUUCUACAAAAAAUGGUGAUAUUUAAAUGAAUUUUCAAACACGUUACAGCAUUAUACUGGAAAAAAAUGUUUUAAUUAAUUAAUUAAUAAACUUAAGCCUAAAGGAAUGUAACACAUGCUUUUAAUGCAUUUAUUUGAGUACUUAUGGGGAUUCUGUUUUCUCUGCAUACAAUAAUAUAUUUUUUUCUUUAAUAUCAAUUUUUGGUUUUAAAUUGUAUGUGCAAUUGAUAUGAUUUUAUUUUUCUAGAUAUUAAUCAGUUUUGUUUUGUACGUAUAACGACCUUAUAUUUAAAGGUCGAAGGUUUAAUUGGUUUGUUUUUUGAAUUAAUUCUACCAGCGCUUCGAAUGACCAUCCACUGAGAAGAAGCGCCCAAGAAACUCAGCAGGAAAUCAUUUUUUGUUGGUGUAAGUAUUUUCUCCAACGGUAGGUAUUUAUUAAUGUUAGGUCGCGAUUCACAGAGUGAAUAUUUAAAUGCAACGUAAUCAUUAAUUUUGCUAUUUCGAACAGAAAAAAAAGUUAAAAGUACCAGUUAUUUGAAACUAUUAAAAAAUAAUAGCCUUAAAUAACCAAGACGUUUUAAUGUAAACUGAAUAAAAUUCGUAA